GAAGCAUUGUUAUUGACUGCUCCAGAUUAAACAGCGCAGAGGAAGAUUUCAAUUUGAUAACGUCACAGCCCUUCCUGUUUUUCUUUGCUGCUUCUGCUGACAAUUUGAGGAGCAAUUACUAGAAGUUCUGUCAAUAACGGAAAAGAGAAACUAGAAGGUGCCUUAUUUCCAUACUCUGCAAUCUGCAAGGCAAAUUAAUGUUCCCCGAAUAAGCUUUUUAUAAUGUUAUGCUGUAAUGUUUGUUGGAAGAUUAGAUUAAACAAUAUGAUAACAUAAUAUCAUUAUGCAGUCACGUCUGAAUUGGAAUAUGGAGAAACAAAGAUCACUAUCAUAUUAAUGCUUAUAAUUUUGUGCUUUUUUUCCCUGAGUCUUUUGGGUCCUUUAUUCUACAGUAAUAAUAGUCUUAGGUUUAUAUAGUGCCUUCAAUUUAAACAGCCAGAGCUUUCAGUAAUGCAAAGAGAACAGAACAAACAUGUAAUGAUCAUUAUUCCAAUUACUGGAGCUCAGCCAGCUCUGGAUAAACUAGGUGGUGUUCUAAUACUAUGUACAACACUAAACAGAAGCUCUAAAAGUGUAUUCUUAAUUUCAUUAAAAGGUAAUUCUUAACGAA
Anas platyrhynchos (mallard) is the source of this 610-nucleotide non-coding RNA. NCBI's taxonomy places the organism in Eukaryota, Metazoa, Chordata, Aves, Anseriformes, Anatidae. The record is from RefSeq and is a predicted model, not a curated record.